This is a long non-coding RNA of Xenopus laevis (African clawed frog), 338 nucleotides long. RefSeq lists it as uncharacterized. NCBI's taxonomy places the organism in Eukaryota, Metazoa, Chordata, Amphibia, Anura, Pipidae. The record is from RefSeq and is a predicted model, not a curated record. The transcript is spliced from 4 exons.
UCAAUAGUGUUAUUAUUAGACAGUCUGCCUCGAUGUUAUAUAAAUAUGGAGUCAAACUGAACUGAUAGAGCACAUUACAAUUUGCAGUCUCCAGAUGCUUCGUGAUUUGAUCUUCAGUUGCCUCAAGCUGCAGAACAAUGACCGUUCUACCCAAGGAAGAAGCAUGGCAAGCUGACUACACACUUUCAAAGACAAUUUGGGCACGAGGGAUGCUUUCUCUCAAACAGAACGUAAAUUCAGAAGUAAAUACAAUUAAGCUGAUUAACGAGGAUUAUUCUACAGACUGAAUGUUAUCCGAAUGCUGUCUGAGGGCUAAGACUGAUUCGAUCUUGGGGGUG